This 649-nucleotide long non-coding RNA is filed under the name Coturnix japonica (Japanese quail). Its description in RNAcentral is "lncRNA (ENSCJPG00005002668.1)". The record is from RNAcentral. Lineage: Eukaryota; Metazoa; Chordata; Aves; Galliformes; Phasianidae.
GGCACAAUGGGUCAGUGGCACAAUGGGUCAAUGUGAGGCACAAAUGGGGUUCAGAUGUGGGCACAAUGGGGUCAAUGUGGGGCACAAUGGGGUCAAUGUGGGGCACAAUGGGGUCAGUGGGGCACAAUGGGGUCAGAUGUGGGGCACAAUGGGGUCAGAUGUGGGGCACAAUGGGGUCAGAUGUGGGGCACAAUGGGGUCAAUGUGGGGCACAAUGGGGUCAGAUGUGGGGCACAAUGGGGUCAGUGGGGCACAGUGGGGUCAAUGUGGGGCACAAUGGGGUCAGAUGUGGGCACAAUGGGGUCACGUGGGCACGUGGGAUCAGAUGUGGGGCACAUGGUCAAUUGGGGCAACAAUGGGUCAAUGUGGGGCACAAUGGGGUCAGUGGGGCACAAUGGGGGUCAAUGUGGGGGCACAAUGGGGUCAGUGGGGCACAAUGGGGUCAGAUGUGGGGCACAAUGGGGUCAAUGUGGGGCACAAUGGGGUCAGAUGUGGGGCACAAUGGGGUCAAUGUGGGGCACAAUGGGGUCAAUGUGGGGGCACAGUGGGGUCAGAUGUGGGGCACAAUGGGGUCCAAUUGUCGGGCACAAUGGGUCAAUGUGGGCACAAUGGGUCAAUGUGGGGCACAUGGGUCAAUGGGGGCAACCACG